GACAGCUCUUUUGGAUGGCUGCAGCUUGUGGAAGACGGGACGUGCGGAAACGGAGCUCAGGAGCAACAAACACGUGGCUAGAAUGUCCCAUAACUUCAUUUUAGACUCAGUUCCUUUGAGGGAAGCUGCAACGGUGCAAAGGACAGCAAGCAGAUGCUGUGGAGCCUCGGCUCGUGAAGUACGGCGUGUGUUGAUCAGCUGGCAAGUCAAUGGCCGCGCUGUCAUGGAUCAGCCCGUGUCAGAUACUCUGGGUGUGCUGCUUCAGCUGAUAAACGCAGAUAAGAAAUAAGUCCAAAAGCCAAGCCAAUGAAAGGCCUGUCAGCUGAUGAUGAAAGACAGCCUCUUCUGGAAUGGAGCAGUUCAGCUUAUUUUGACUCUUCAUGGAGAAAGCUCCUCUGUUUCAUUAGAGAUGUGGACCUGUGUCUUGUUUUGCUUGUUGGUGGCUUCUUUGAAGUUCUGCUGCUAAUUGCUGCAGUAGAUCAGUGUUGGCAGAUCUCCAGGACGCUGAAUGCUUACAGGAGUCCUGAUGUCCGGCAGCCUGCAUAACCAAUCUAGGAAUGAUGCAGGGAAUUUGAGGGAGCAGCUCCCAAGCGUUUCAUUCCUGUCGGUGGGCUUGCACAAGACAGACGCACUGUAGUUGACUAAGUGCUGGUUCGCAGGCCCUGCGCCAUCUGCAUAAGCCCCGGACAGCACGUCAGCGCGGCCAGUCGCUCUCUGCGGUCAGGCCUGAUUGUGUUUGCAACCCUUUGUGACUCCAGCAGACGUGAACUCAUAACAUGCCAGCGCUUUGUUAUGGUACCUGGGAGCUUUGAGCUGCACCAGCUGCUGCUCAUGACAGCUCCCGCAGGGGCGCGUUGGCCGCUCCAGAGGAGGACUGGUGCUCACCGAGAUCUGCUGACAUUCCAGAUU
This is a long non-coding RNA of Labeo rohita (rohu), 909 nucleotides long. RefSeq lists it as uncharacterized. NCBI's taxonomy places the organism in Eukaryota, Metazoa, Chordata, Actinopteri, Cypriniformes, Cyprinidae. The record is from RefSeq and is a predicted model, not a curated record. The transcript has 5 exons.